AGAGUUUGAUUAUGGCUCAGGAUGAACGCUGGCGGCGUGCCUAACACAUGCAAGUCGAGCGGACCAAUGCUCAUUUCAGCUUUGCUGAUUUGAGCAACGGUUAGCGGCGGACGGGUGAGUAACGCGUGGGCAACCUGCCCUGUGCAGGGGGAUAACACAGCGAAAGCUGUGCUAAUACCCCAUAAGACUACGCUAUCGCAUGAUAGAGUAGUCAAAGCUUUAGCGGCACAGGAUGGGCCCGCGUCUGAUUAGCUAGUUGGUGGGGUAACGGCCUACCAAGGCGACGAUCAGUAGCCGACCUGAGAGGGUGAUCGGCCACACUGGAACUGAGACACGGUCCAGACUCCUACGGGAGGCAGCAGUGGGGAAUAUUGCACAAUGGGGGAAACCCUGAUGCAGCAACGCCGCGUGAGCGAAGAAGGCCUUCGGGUCGUAAAGCUCUGUCCUAAGGGAAGAAGUAUGACGGUACCUUAGGAGGAAGCCCCGGCUAACUACGUGCCAGCAGCCGCGGUAAUACGUAGGGGGCGAGCGUUAUCCGGAAUCACUGGGCGUAAAGGGUGCGUAGGCGGCCGAGUAAGCCAGAGGUGAAAGGCUACGGCUUAACCGUAGUAAGCCUUUGGAACUACUUGGCUUGAGUGCAGGAGAGGAGAGUGGAAUUCCUAGUGUAGCGGUGAAAUGCGUAGAUAUUAGGAGGAACACCAGUGGCGAAGGCGACUCUCUGGACUGUAACUGACGCUGAGGCACGAAAGCGUGGGGAGCAAACAGGAUUAGAU
RNAcentral lists this ribosomal RNA (773 nucleotides) under uncultured bacterium. RNAcentral's name for it is "bacterial SSU rRNA". It matches the Rfam family "Bacterial small subunit ribosomal RNA", at positions 8 to 783 of the family's 1533-position model. The record is from RNAcentral.